GCAGAGAUGGCUCAGUGGUUAAGAACACUGACUGCUCUUCUGAAGAUCCUGAGUUCAAACCUCAGCAUCAACA
This 73-nucleotide transfer RNA is filed under the name Mus musculus (house mouse). Its description in RNAcentral is "tRNA-Ser". Lineage: Eukaryota; Metazoa; Chordata; Mammalia; Rodentia; Muridae. The record is from RNAcentral.